GACGAACGCUGGCGGCGUGCUUAACACAUGCAAGUCGAACGGAAAGGCCCUGCUUGCAGGGUGCUCGAGUGGCGAACGGGUGAGUAACGCGUGGGUGAUCUGCCCCUUACUUUGGGAUAAGCCUGGGAAACUGGGUCUAAUACUGGAUAGGACCAUGCUGUAGGUGGUGUGGUGGAAAGAUUAGUUUCGGUAAGGGAUGAGCUCGCGGCCUAUCAGCUUGUUGGUGGGGUAAUGGCCUACCAAGGCGUCGACGGGUAGCCGGCCUGAGAGGGUGGACGGCCACAUUGGGACUGAGAUACGGCACAGACUCCUACGGGAGGCAGCAGUGGGGAAUAUUGCACAAUGGGCGCAAGCCUGAUGCAGCGACGCCGCGUGGGGGAUGACGGCCUUCGGGUUGUAAACUCCUUUCAGCCAUGACGAAGCCCUUGUGGUGACGGUAGUGGUAGAAGAAGCACCGGCUAACUACGUG
This 469-nucleotide ribosomal RNA is filed under the name uncultured bacterium. Its description in RNAcentral is "partial 16S ribosomal RNA". It matches the Rfam family "Bacterial small subunit ribosomal RNA", at positions 28 to 507 of the family's 1533-position model. The record is from RNAcentral.